AGAAACUUACAAGGAUUCCCCUAGUAACAGUGAGUGAACAGAGAACAGCCCAACUUGAAAAUUGGGCGGCUUCGCCAUCUGAAUUGUAGUCUGUAGAAGCGUCUUCAGCAGUGGGCCGAGCCCAAGUCCCCUAGAAGUGGGUGCCUAAGAGGGUGAGAGCCGUGUCAUGCUUGGAUCCUUUUGCAUCACAAGGCACUGCUGGUGAGUCGGGUUGUUUGUGAAUAUAGCCCCAACCAAGUGGUAAAUUCCAUCCAAGGCUAAAUACUGGUGAGAGACUAAUAGCAAACAAGUACCAUGAGGGAAAGAUUAAAAGGACUCUGCAAAGAGAGUCAAAGAGUGCUUGAAAUUGUUAGGAGGGAAGUGGAUGGGGGUCGGCCAUGCCCCUCGGUCAGAUAUGGAACUGCUAGAAGUUGGUCCGCCAAUCGGCUUGAGGCAUGGACCGAUGUGGAUUGCGGCGGCGGGCUAAGCCCAUGCCUUCAAUAAGCAUGUAGAGUCAUCGAUGUCGCAAUUGUGGCAGGCAGUGCGCGCUGUCACGGUGUGCCUUGGUACUUGUGCACUCCAAGCAUUGGUCUAUGGGCUCCCCAUUCGACUUGUCUUGAAACACGGACCAAGGAGUCUGACAUGUGUGUGAGUCGACAGGUGAGUAAACCUGUAAGGCGCAAGGAAGCUGACUGGCGGGAUCCCCGCGGGGGCUGCACCGCCGACCGACCUCGAUCUUCUGAGAAGGGUUCGAGUGAGAGCAUGCCUGUCGGGACCCGAAAGAUGGUGAACUAUGCCUGAGCGGGGCGAAGCCAGAGGAAACUCUGGUGGAGGCCCGAAGCGUUACUGACGUGCAAAUCGUUCGUCUGACUUGGGUAUAGGGGCGAAAGACUAAUCGAACCAUCUAGUAGCUGGUUCCCUCC
This 902-nucleotide ribosomal RNA is filed under the name Ongokea gore. RNAcentral describes it as "eukaryotic LSU rRNA". It matches the Rfam family "Eukaryotic large subunit ribosomal RNA", at positions 60 to 962 of the family's 3401-position model. Lineage: Eukaryota; Viridiplantae; Streptophyta; Magnoliopsida; Santalales; Aptandraceae. The record is from RNAcentral.